UCUCUCGUAGCUUAGUGGUCAAAGAAUUGGAAAGUUCCGGGUUCGAAUCCCGGCGAGGGUG
This 61-nucleotide transfer RNA is filed under the name Agrilus planipennis (emerald ash borer). It matches the Rfam family "tRNA". From Rfam's summary of the family: Transfer RNA (tRNA) molecules are approximately 80 nucleotides in length. Their secondary structure includes four short double-helical elements and three loops (D, anti-codon, and T loops). Further hydrogen bonds mediate the characteristic L-shaped molecular structure. tRNAs have two regions of fundamental functional importance: the anti-codon, which is responsible for specific mRNA codon recognition, and the 3' end, to which the tRNAs corresponding amino acid is attached (by aminoacyl-tRNA synthetases). tRNAs cope with the degeneracy of the genetic code in two manners: having more than one tRNA (with a specific anti-codon) for a particular amino acid; and 'wobble' base-pairing, i.e. permitting non-standard base-pairing at the 3rd anti-codon position. The record is from Rfam by way of RNAcentral. Lineage: Eukaryota; Metazoa; Arthropoda; Insecta; Coleoptera; Buprestidae.